Molecule: ribosomal RNA, 651 nt
Filed under: Grapholita molesta (oriental fruit moth)
Lineage: Eukaryota; Metazoa; Arthropoda; Insecta; Lepidoptera; Tortricidae
Description: partial 16S ribosomal RNA
Source: RNAcentral
UUCUCGAAUUUAAAAGAGUUAAUUAAUUAAAAAAUUUAUUGUAGCAAAAAUAUUUUUCAUAAUUAAUUAGAAAUGAAAUGUUAAUCGUUUUUAAAUAUAUCUAGUUUUUUUAGAAAAAAAUUUAAUUUUAAAUUAAAUUAAUUAAAAAAUUAAUUAAAAAAUUUUUUAAAAUUUAAAUUUAAUAUUUUAAGGGAUAAGCUUUAAUUUAAAAUAUUUAUAAUUAAAUAUUAAAUUUUUUGAAAAUUUUAAAAUUUAUAUUGUUUAAAAAUUAUAAUUUUUUAUAAAUAAUUUUAUAAAAAAUAAAAUUUAAUUUUAAUUUAAUUUUUUAUAAAAAAAUAAAAUUAAAAAAAAUAAUUUUAGUUAUAAUGAUAAAAUUAGUAUAUAAAUUUUAUUUAAUUAAUAUUAUAAAAUAUUUUUAAAUGAAAAAUUAAUUAUAAGGAAUUCGGCAAAAAUUUAUAUUCACUUGUUUAUCAAAAACAUGUCUUUUUGAAAUAAUUUAAAGUCUAAUCUGCCCACUGAUGAAAAUUGAAGGGCUGCAGUAUUUUGACUGUACAAAGGUAGCAUAAUCAUUAGUCUCUUAAUUGGUGACUUGUAUGAAAGAUUGGAUGAGAUAUAAGCUGUCUUAUUUUUAUUUAUAGAAUUUAAUUUUUU